AAAACUCAAAAACUUAGUCUCAGUUCGGAUUGUAGGCUGAAACUACGCCUACAUGAAGCUGGAGUUGCUAGUAAUCGCGAAUCAGCAUGUCGCGGUGAAUACGUUCCCGGGCCUUGUACACACCGCCCGUCACACCAUGAGAGUUGGCAAUACCCAACGUACGUGAUCUAACCCGCGAGGGAGGAAGCGUCCUAAGGUAGGGUCAGCGAUUGGGGUGAAGUCGUAACAAGGUACC
RNAcentral lists this ribosomal RNA (235 nucleotides) under uncultured bacterium. RNAcentral describes it as "partial 16S ribosomal RNA". It matches the Rfam family "Bacterial small subunit ribosomal RNA", at positions 1269 to 1500 of the family's 1533-position model. The record is from RNAcentral.